Molecule: ribosomal RNA, 494 nt
Filed under: uncultured bacterium
Lineage: Bacteria
Description: partial 16S ribosomal RNA
Rfam family: Bacterial small subunit ribosomal RNA
Source: RNAcentral
GACGAACGCUGGCGGCGUGCUUAACACAUGCAAGUCGAACGGAAAGGCCUGUCCUUCCUUGUGUUGGACGGGUACUCGAGUGGCGAACGGGUGAGUAACACGUGAGUGAUCUGCCCCCAACUUGGGUACAAGCCUGGGAAACUGGGUCUAAUUCCCGCUAGGACUGCAGGGUGGUGCCUGUGGUGGAAAACGAUUUUCUAGUGGUUGGGGAUGAGCUCGCGGCCUAUCAGCUUGUGGGUGGGGUAAUGGCCUACGAAGGCGGCGACGGGUAGCCGGCCUGGGAGGGUGGACGGGAGACUGGGGACUGAGACACGGGCCCGACUCCUACGGGAGGCAGCAGUCGGGAAUAAUGCACGAUGGGCGGAAGACUGAUGGAGGGACGCCGCGUGAGGGAUGACGGGCUUCGGGUUGUAAACUCCUUUCGACAGCGAGGAAGCCGCCUGGAUGGAAGGGUGGUGACGGUAGUGGUAGAAGAAGCACCGGCUAACUACGUG